CAGUAGCCGCGGGAAUACGUAGGGUGCAAGCGUUAAUCGGAAUUACUGGGCGUAAAGCGUGCGCAGGCGGUUAUAUAAGACAGAUGUGAAAUCCCCGGGCUCAACCUGGGAACUGCAUUUGUGACUGUAUAGCUAGAGUACGGCAGAGGGGGAUGGAAUUCCGCGUGUAGCAGUGAAAUGCGUAGAUAUGCGGAGGAACACCGAUGGCGAAGGCAAUCCCCUGGGCCUGUACUGACGCUCAUGCACGAAAGCGUGGGGAGCAAACAGGAUUAGAUACCCCGUGUAGUCCCUGUCUCUUAUA
Molecule: ribosomal RNA, 301 nt
Filed under: uncultured bacterium
Lineage: Bacteria
Description: partial 16S ribosomal RNA
Rfam family: Bacterial small subunit ribosomal RNA
Source: RNAcentral